AGACUUCCUGGGGCCUAACCCCAGCAUCUCAGGGUGAGGCUGCAACCUGGGCAGUGGUAUGUGUGUCUGAAAAGCUUUCCAGGUGAUUCUUGUGUGUAAUCAAGAAAUGCUAACAUUGUGGGAGUCACCCAUUGUACCCUGAAGUGGCAGCUUAUACAACCUGACUGGCGUUUGAAGCACUGGAGGAGCUUCAGGAAAUAGCAGUCCCAGUCAGGGAUGCAGCUCGGGUAGAGCGCUUGCCAAGAGCGCACAAGGACCCAAUCCUCAACACUGCAGAAACAGAAACCAAACGACCCAUUAAAAAAAGCAGUCCUAACACCCAGAUCAGAGCCACCUGAGACAAGCACCUCAGUGAAGGUCACCUUAGACCAGCUUACCCUAUGCUACUCACAGUACUGAGGAUUGAACUCAGGCCCUUAGCACUGAGUGACAUCUUCAGACCCUUUUUGUUUUUUAUUUUGAGACAAGAUCUCCGUGAGCUG
RNAcentral lists this long non-coding RNA (482 nucleotides) under Heterocephalus glaber (naked mole-rat). Its description in RNAcentral is "lncRNA (ENSHGLG00100044266.1)". Lineage: Eukaryota; Metazoa; Chordata; Mammalia; Rodentia; Bathyergidae. The record is from RNAcentral.